Molecule: ribosomal RNA, 460 nt
Filed under: uncultured bacterium
Lineage: Bacteria
Description: partial 16S ribosomal RNA
Rfam family: Bacterial small subunit ribosomal RNA
Source: RNAcentral
CCUACGGGAGGCUGCAGUGAGGAAUAUUGGUCAAUGGGCGAGAGCCUGAACCAGCCAAGUCGCGUGAAGGAUGACGGCCCUACGGGUUGUAAACUUCUUUUGUCAGGGAGCAAUUGAGUCCACGUGUGGGCUUAGCGAGAGCACCUGCAGAAAAAGCAUCGGCAAACUCCGUGCCAGCAGCCGCGGUAAUACGGAGGAUGCGAGCGUUACCCGGAUUUAUUGGGUUUAAAGGGUGCGUAGGCGGAAUAUUAAGUCAGCGGUAAAAACUCGGGGCUCAACCCCGUCGUGCCGUUGAAACUGAUGGUCUUGAGUGGGCGAGAAGUAUGCGGAAUGCGUGGUGUAGCGGUGAAAUGCAUAGAUAUCACGCAGAACUCCGAUUGCGAAGGCAGCAUACCGGCGCCCAACUGACGCUGAAGCACGAAAGCGUGGGUAUCGAACAGGAUUAGAUACCCCAGUAGUC